Molecule: ribosomal RNA, 253 nt
Filed under: uncultured bacterium
Lineage: Bacteria
Description: partial 16S ribosomal RNA
Rfam family: Bacterial small subunit ribosomal RNA
Source: RNAcentral
UACGGGGGGGGCAAGCGUUGUUCGGAAUUACUGGGCGUAAAGGGUUCGUAGGUGGCCUGCUAAGUCAGACGUGAAAUCCCUCGGCUUAACCGGGGAACUGCGUCUGAGACUGGCGGGCUUGAGUACAGGAGAGGAACGCGGAAUUCCAGGUGUAGCGGUGAAAUGCGUAGAUAUCUGGAGGAACACCGGUGGCGAAGGCGGCGUUCUGGACUGUUACUGACACUGAGGAACGAAAGCCAGGGGAGCAAACGGG